Molecule: ribosomal RNA, 195 nt
Filed under: uncultured Thiohalocapsa sp.
Lineage: Bacteria; Pseudomonadati; Pseudomonadota; Gammaproteobacteria; Chromatiales; Chromatiaceae
Description: partial 16S ribosomal RNA
Rfam family: Bacterial small subunit ribosomal RNA
Source: RNAcentral
UCCUACGGGAGGCAGCAGUGGGGAAUAUUGGACAAUGGGCGAAAGCCUGAUCCAGCAAUGCCGCGUGUGUGAAGAAGGCCUGCGGGUUGUAAAGCACUUUCAGUAGGGAAGAAAAGCAUGGGGAUAAUACCCCCGUGUCUUGACGUAACCUACAGAAGAAGCACCGGCUAACUCCGUGCCAGCAGCCGCGGUAAU